ACUAAAUAUGCCCACUACGGUCUCUCGAAUCGCAAGAUCGAGAGCGAGAAAGGGAAUCCGGUGCGGCGAAUGCCAAUGCCGGAACUGCCCCCGCAACUGUAAGCGGUGAGUCCCAUCCAAUGGUGCCACUGGAGCGUGCUCCGGGAAGGCUGGAUAUGGACUGCGACCCGCAAGUCAGGAGACCUGCCGUAGCAACGAUCUUACG
This 205-nucleotide non-coding RNA is filed under the name Nitratireductor indicus. RNAcentral also lists the same sequence under 1 other name. Lineage: Bacteria; Pseudomonadati; Pseudomonadota; Alphaproteobacteria; Hyphomicrobiales; Phyllobacteriaceae. The record is from RNAcentral.